RNAcentral lists this transfer-messenger RNA (138 nucleotides) under Mesoflavibacter sp. Its description in RNAcentral is "partial transfer-messenger RNA". It matches the Rfam family "transfer-messenger RNA", at positions 230 to 374 of the family's 374-position model. From Rfam's summary of the family: Bacterial tmRNA, also known as 10Sa RNA or SsrA, is named for its dual tRNA and mRNA-like properties. Its role is to liberate the mRNA from a stalled ribosome. To accomplish this part of the tmRNA is used as a reading frame that ends in a translation stop signal. The record is from RNAcentral. Lineage: Bacteria; Pseudomonadati; Bacteroidota; Flavobacteriia; Flavobacteriales; Flavobacteriaceae.
GCGUUAAAACUAAGCGGCCUCGCCUUUAUCUACCGUGUUUGUCCGGGAUUUAAAGGUUAAUUAAAUGACAAUACUAAACAUGUAGUACCGACGGUCGAGGCUUUUCGGACGGGGGUUCAAAUCCCCCCAGCUCCACCA